Molecule: ribosomal RNA, 458 nt
Filed under: uncultured Mollicutes bacterium
Lineage: Bacteria; Bacillati; Mycoplasmatota; Mollicutes
Description: bacterial SSU rRNA
Rfam family: Bacterial small subunit ribosomal RNA
Source: RNAcentral
GCACAAGCGGUGGAGUAUUGUUGUUUAAUUCGAAGAUACACGAAGAACCUUUACCAGGUCUUUGACAUACCAUUGACAGGUGUAGAGAUACACUCUCCUUCGGGCAAUGGAUACAGGUGGUGCAUGGUUGUCGUCAGCUCGUGCCGUGAGGUGUUGGGUUAAGUCCCGCAACGAGCGCAACCCUCAUUGUUAGUUACUACCAUUCAGUUGAGGACUCUAAUGAGACUGCCAACGACAAGUUGGAGGAAGGUGGGGAUGACGUCAAAUCAUCAUGCCCUUUAUGACCUGGGCUACAAACGUACUACAAUGGCCAAUACAAAGAGAUGCGAAGCGGUGACGUGAAGCGAACCUCAGAAAGUUGGUCUCAGUUCAGAUUGAAGUCUGCAACUCGACUUCAUGAAGGCGGAAUCGCUAGUAAUCGCGGGUCAGCAGACCGCGGUGAAUACGUUCCCGGGUUU